RNAcentral lists this ribosomal RNA (253 nucleotides) under uncultured bacterium. Its description in RNAcentral is "partial 16S ribosomal RNA". It matches the Rfam family "Bacterial small subunit ribosomal RNA", at positions 524 to 776 of the family's 1533-position model. The record is from RNAcentral.
UACGGAGGGGGCUAGCGUUGUUCGGAAUUACUGGGCGUAAAGAGCGCGCAGGCGGUCGUUCAAGUCGCGUGUGAAAGCCCCCGGCUCAACUGGGGAGGGUCACGCGAUACUGAUCGACUCGAAGGCAGGAGAGGGAAGUGGAAUUCCCGGUGUAGUGGUGAAAUGCGUAGAUAUCGGGAGGAACACCAGUGGCGAAGGCGACUUCCUGGCCUGUUCUUGACGCUGAGGCGCGAAAGCUAGGGGAGCAAACGGG